This 1484-nucleotide ribosomal RNA is filed under the name Helicobacter pylori. Its description in RNAcentral is "bacterial SSU rRNA". It matches the Rfam family "Bacterial small subunit ribosomal RNA". RNAcentral also lists the same sequence under 2 other names. Lineage: Bacteria; Pseudomonadati; Campylobacterota; Epsilonproteobacteria; Campylobacterales; Helicobacteraceae. The record is from RNAcentral.
AGAGUUUGAUCCUGGCUCAGAGUGAACGCUGGCGGCGUGCCUAAUACAUGCAAGUCGAACGAUGAAGCUUCUAGCUUGCUAGAAUGCUGAUUAGUGGCGCACGGGUGAGUAACGCAUAGGUCAUGUGCCUCUUAGUUUGGGAUAGCCAUUGGAAACGAUGAUUAAUACCAGAUACUCCCUACGGGGGAAAGAUUUAUCGCUAAGAGAUCAGCCUAUGUCCUAUCAGCUUGUUGGUAAGGUAAUGGCUUACCAAGGCUAUGACGGGUAUCCGGCCUGAGAGGGUGAACGGACACACUGGAACUGAGACACGGUCCAGACUCCUACGGGAGGCAGCAGUAGGGAAUAUUGCUCAAUGGGGGAAACCCUGAAGCAGCAACGCCGCGUGGAGGAUGAAGGUUUUAGGAUUGUAAACUCCUUUUGUUAGAGAAGAUAAUGACGGUAUCUAACGAAUAAGCACCGGCUAACUCCGUGCCAGCAGCCGCGGUAAUACGGAGGGUGCAAGCGUUACUCGGAAUCACUGGGCGUAAAGAGCGCGUAGGCGGGAUAGUCAGUCAGGUGUGAAAUCCUAUGGCUUAACCAUAGAACUGCAUUUGAAACUACUAUUCUAGAGUGUGGGAGAGGUAGGUGGAAUUCUUGGUGUAGGGGUAAAAUCCGUAGAGAUCAAGAGGAAUACUCAUUGCGAAGGCGACCUGCUGGAACAUUACUGACGCUGAUUGCGCGAAAGCGUGGGGAGCAAACAGGAUUAGAUACCCUGGUAGUCCACGCCCUAAACGAUGGAUGCUAGUUGUUGGAGGGCUUAGUCUCUCCAGUAAUGCAGCUAACGCAUUAAGCAUCCCGCCUGGGGAGUACGGUCGCAAGAUUAAAACUCAAAGGAAUAGACGGGGACCCGCACAAGCGGUGGAGCAUGUGGUUUAAUUCGAAGAUACACGAAGAACCUUACCUAGGCUUGACAUUGAGAGAAUCCGCUAGAAAUAGUGGAGUGUCUAGCUUGCUAGACCUUGAAAACAGGUGCUGCACGGCUGUCGUCAGCUCGUGUCGUGAGAUGUUGGGUUAAGUCCCGCAACGAGCGCAACCCCCUUUCUUAGUUGCUAACAGGUUAUGCUGAGAACUCUAAGGAUACUGCCUCCGUAAGGAGGAGGAAGGUGGGGACGACGUCAAGUCAUCAUGGCCCUUACGCCUAGGGCUACACACGUGCUACAAUGGGGUGCACAAAGAGAAGCAAUACUGCGAAGUGGAGCCAAUCUUCAAAACACCUCUCAGUUCGGAUUGUAGGCUGCAACUCGCCUGCAUGAAGCUGGAAUCGCUAGUAAUCGCAAAUCAGCCAUGUUGCGGUGAAUACGUUCCCGGGUCUUGUACUCACCGCCCGUCACACCAUGGGAGUUGUGUUUGCCUUAAGUCAGGAUGCUAAAUUGGCUACUGCCCACGGCACACACAGCGACUGGGGUGAAGUCGUAACAAGGUAACCGUAGGUGAACCUGCGGUUG